Molecule: ribosomal RNA, 384 nt
Filed under: uncultured eukaryote
Lineage: Eukaryota
Description: SSU rRNA
Rfam family: Eukaryotic small subunit ribosomal RNA
Source: RNAcentral
AGCUCCAAUAGCGUAUAUUAAAGUUGUUGCAGUUAAAAAGCUCGUAGUUGGAUUUCUGUUGAGAGUGAUCAGUUCGAGGCUUAGCCUUGAUACUUGCAUCAUCUCUUAACAUCAAUGAGAAAAACCUGUCUGGCAUUAAGUUGUCGGGUAGGGGAUUCUCAUCUUUUACUGUGAAAAAAUUAGAGUGUUCAAAGCAGGCUUAUGCCGUUGAAUAUAUUAGCAUGGAAUAAUAAGAUAGGACUAUGGUGCUAUUUUGUUGGUUUGUGCGCCAUGGUAAUGAUUAAUAGGGACAGUUGGGGGUAUUCGUAUUCCAAUGUCAGAGGUGAAAUUCUUGGAUUUUUGGAAGACGAACUACUGCGAAAGCAUUUACCAAGGAUGUUUUCA